RNAcentral lists this ribosomal RNA (253 nucleotides) under uncultured bacterium. RNAcentral's name for it is "partial 16S ribosomal RNA". It matches the Rfam family "Bacterial small subunit ribosomal RNA", at positions 524 to 776 of the family's 1533-position model. The record is from RNAcentral.
UACGGAGGGUGCAAGCGUUAUCCGGAUUUACUGGGUUUAAAGGGUGCGUAGGUGGGCAGGUAAGUCAGUGGUGAAAUCUCCGAGCUUAACUCGGAAACUGCCAUUGAUACUAUCUGUCUUGAAUAUCCUGGAGGUGAGCGGAAUAUGUCAUGUAGCGGUGAAAUGCUUAGAUAUGACAUAGAACACCAAUUGCGAAGGCAGCUUACUACAUAGUUAUUGACACUGAGGCACGAAAGCGUGGGGAUCAAACAGG